RNAcentral lists this unclassified non-coding RNA (2486 nucleotides) under Dendronephthya gigantea. RNAcentral describes it as "gamma-aminobutyric acid type B receptor subunit 2- like, transcript variant X5". The record is from RNAcentral. Lineage: Eukaryota; Metazoa; Cnidaria; Anthozoa; Malacalcyonacea; Nephtheidae.
CAUACGCGGCGAGCAGUGUGAAAUUUCAAAGUUUCGAGUACAUGACAUUGUUUACAAAUGUUCCGUCAACAUCUGCGUUCAAUAAAGCCAGACUGGAACUGAUAAAAUACUUUGGCUGGAAAAGAAUCGCCAUCUUGCGAGAAUAUGAUGACGAGUUAUACGCGGAGUCGGUUCGUGACCUGCGUCACCAAAUAGUUCGUGACAAUUUAAACAUUUCUCUGAUCACCAUCGAAGGAUUCAGCCGGUUCACGAAGGGUCAUCCCAGAAUGCAAUUGGAAAACUUAAAAAGCCUGGACGCCCGUAUCAUAAUUGGCGAGUUUUCGAUCAAUGGCGCUGUUGAUGUUUUUUGCGAGGCUUACAAAAUGGGAAUGACAAGUCCUAAGUAUGUGUGGUUUUUGCCAGCAACAGCCUCCGGCGCCUGGAUAUUCAGUCCUCUAACAUUUCCCAAAUACCACAAAGCUUCCAAGUGCAAUAUCAGCCAAAUCAUCGAAGCAGCAGAUGGAUUUAUCGUUUCCGACAAAAUACCCAUUCGAGCAGAUAAAAACGAAACACUGUCUGGUUUGACUCCCGAGUCAUUCAUGGCAGAGAUGCGCAAAAGAAACAGGAAUCCACGAAGUUACGUGAGUUACGCGUUUGACUGCGUAUGGGCAGCAGCCUUGCUAUUUCAAGCAAGCUUGUCAGCGCCUAAGGAAUACCGUCCGGAAAAUGCAAAGUUUGGAUCCAUUAAAAUAAGAAAUGCCUACAUUCGACAACUUUCUCUAAUUCAGUUCCAAGGCAUGACGGGGCGACACCACUUUGAUUACAGAAGACGAUUGGGGUCCGUUCGAAUAAACCAAAUGAGAAAUGUGAAUGGAACAGCGGAGCUUGUUCAAGUGGGAUCGUUCAGUUCCAUCAGCAGGGAGGAAUUUAAAAUGGAACUUUUUGAAAGCCAGGUUGAUAAAUUAUGGAAAGAUGGGAAGGUUCCGGUCGACGAGACGAGAACGAAAAAAAAAGUUUUAACCUACUCCAAAUUGCUGGUAGCGAUCAUCUGGGGUUUUGCUGCUUUGGGCUUGUUUUAUUCGAUUUUUUUCGUCUACUUCAACAUCAGCAAGAGAAAUCACAAAGUGGUUCGAAUGUCAUCUCCGAUGAUCAACAAUGUCGUUCUUCUUGGCUGCUUCUUUUUUUAUGUUUUCGUUUUCUUGUUGGGGAUUGAUUCGAGAUUUGUGGAUGACCAUGUCUUGGGAAUAUUAUGCAAUGUUCGUCUGUAUGUACUGGCUAUUGCAUUUUCCAUGUCUUUUGGCGCAUUAUUCAGUAAAACAUGGCGAGUACACAAGAUAUUCACUGCUCAACGAGCUAUCAAGAAGAAGAUGAUGCGCGAUUUUCACCUUCUUUUAUUUGUCUUGGUCUUGGUGAUAGUUGAUGUCAUUUUCAUAACCAUCUGGGUCUACUAUGAUCCCUUAGAAGCGAAGGAGAUCAUUUUUGAUAAAAUGAAGGAAGAUUCCAUCGAUGUGAUUACAAUUCCUGUUUUGAAAAUCUGUGAGUGCACUCAUAGAACAAAAUUGCUUGGCGCCAUGUACGGAUACAAAGGAAUUUUGCUAUUGUUUGGCGUGUUCCUCGCGUGGGGAACGCGCAAUGUAACGAUUCCUGCGCUAAACGACUCCAAGUACAUCGGAAUGUCAGUUUACAAUGUUGUCAUAUUAUCAGCCAUCGGUGCAACAGUCUCAAUGGUUUUAAAGAAGACUGCUUAUUAUGAAUUACUUCACGUACUGGUAUCUGCUGUGGUGAUACUUUCUACGACUGUUACCUUGACUAUGGUAUUUGCGCCAAAGGUUUAUGAGUAUUACUUUAUUCCGCCGGAGCCUGAAGGUUGCACUCGAACGAUGGAAUCUCUGCAAAUGAGCGCGAGAUCGACAACGACAUCAACAACUGGAGGAUCUGAUGUUUACGAAGCUUAUGUCAAACCAAAAGAUGUUAAAGAUAAAUGGAUACAAACGGAGGAUUUCGAUCCCGCUAAUAAUGGUCUGUCAAUUGCAUCGCCGAUGUUUAGUGGAGGAAACGGUGCUGCAGUGAUGGCGAACGGGAUCAAUAGAGAUAACAAUGGUGAAACGGUGACAUCUAUGGUUAGUAAUAGUAGUGAACCCGUGUUCGGUGAAGAAUAUAUGAAAGUUGAUGAAUGUACACUGAUAGAUUCUGGUGUGGGUGUGGGAUUGUGUGAUAACAGCCCAGACUCUUCAAUGACCAAUCAGAACGCGGAAUUUGAUCAUGAAAACAUGAACACAAAGGAACAAGACGGAUUCAGCGUUCAUUAGAGGGUUGGUACUGAAGAGAAAUGGAUUGGAACCAAUCUUGUCCCCAGAGCCGUUUUGGACUUUAUAGGGGGUGUUGGGUCUGGAGGCGAGAGGGAGAAGAGGAAAGACCUUGGGAUCGGCCGUUCAAAAUACCCACAUUUCCAUUGCGAUUAGGAGUUCAAGACGAUACGCGUAAGUGGAUAUAGGACACGAGAUAAG